RNA transcript from Onychostoma macrolepis, 2153 nucleotides. It is a transcript of the gene named macrophage mannose receptor 1-like, with no coding region annotated. The record is from RefSeq and is a predicted model, not a curated record. The transcript is spliced from 4 exons. Lineage: Eukaryota; Metazoa; Chordata; Actinopteri; Cypriniformes; Cyprinidae.
UUCAAAAAUCAAAUAAAACAAACCAAUAAAACGUUUAAUUCAUGGGGAUGAACACUGAAACUAGCCUCAUUAUGAAGCCUCUUUUUAAAUGGAUAUCAACUUAUCUAUAGUCUCUUAUGGCUGGAGUACACUACACAAUUUUUGCCCUGAUUUUCCACAGAUUUACAGUCUGGAGAAGUUGAUGCUAGUUGCCAAAGGUCAGAGCCAGUCUGCAGAUUUGAGUUAACAGAUUCUAUAGAAAAUCGAUUAACUUAACUUUAAGUGACAACCAUCAGUUCAUAUGUAAAGUCUGUUCAUGAAGUGUUUACAUAGACGUUCAAUGUGGAAGAGCUUAAAGAGAGCACACUUGGAGCAGCAACAAUUUUUAAUAAAUUUAAUGUAAUAUUUAUUCAAAUGACAGGAUUUUGCUAAAUAAAUAGUCUAGGUCAUACGUAUUUUAAUAUGAACAAUUAUUAUUAACAAUAUCUAUGAAAUUAUACUUAUUGUUAUUGAUGUCACACUGAAGCUGUGUGAUUUUCAUAGUAAUGUACCCUUUAAGCUCACCUUACAAUAAUAUGAAAUCUUAAAAAAUUACAGCACUGUAAAACCACAGACUAGCAAUAAACUGUCAAUUUAUAAUAUUAUGGAUGCAAAAGUACAAGCCAGUAAUGCCUGUGAAGUAAUAUAUUAGCGUAGCACACAAUCUUAUACAGCUAGUCAGCUAACUGUGUUCUGUAGCAUCUGCGCUAUGUUGCUAUCUUUUGGAUCUAACUCUAAUUAAUUCCCACAUCCAAGUUCCAGGUGAUAAUAUGCAAAAGUCUGGACAUUAAUCUCUUAAUUUUACAGUAAGUAGUGAAACUUACCCAAAAUAAAGGCUUAAACAUCUAAAAAAUGCACAUUUAAGGGGCUCCUCUUUUGGUGAAAGUUUUUAGACCGCUUUCAAAAUGGCCACCAGACAGUGGGAACACAUGGAGAUCCAUAUCUCAGUGUGCAAUGGUCCGAAUGACUUGAAAUUAUAGGAGAUUCAGAGACCAACUCCUUCCUCAUCUACAACAAGGACCACAACAAAUGUGUGUAUGCAGUGAAUGCUACUGUGGUACAGGCUGCACCAUGUGAUGUAUCAUCAGAGGCUCAGCAUUUCCGAUGGAUUUCCUCUUCACAAAUCCUCAAUCUAUUUUUUAAUCGCUGCUUGGGGUCAGAGGAGGUCAAAGACUGGACCAAAAUUAUCCUUCUGCCCUGCAAUGAUCUCAGUCCAAUGCAAACCUGGGAAUGUAAGGAGGAAAGCUUGUUUGGUUUGAAGGGGCAUCCUCUGCACCUGAACUAUGGAAAUCAUGAUGAGCCAAAUGUGAUGCUGUUUUCGGGAACAGGUGUUUGGAGUCGCUGGCUGAUUUAUGGGAUGGAAGAAAAUUUGUGUUCUUGUGGAAAUCAAGUCUUUGAUCAUCAUGAGGAAGGAGUAUCUUUAUUCUGCAUCUGCUUUUCCUCCUUCAUUGUUGUUGGUCUCUUCAGCAUGACUGCAGCAGUGAUCAGGACCAACAUCAGAAGCAAAGCCAAAGGUAACACAGGCCCUGCCAUGACAUUCACCAGCAAACAAUAUGAGAAUGCAUAAAGAACCUUGCAGCUUUCUGAAGAAAGAACAUAAGAACAAGAAGAGAACGCAAAACAACCAUGAAAAAAUAAAUAAAAAACAUAAAUAAACAUCUCUUUUCUAGUUGAAAUGCAGGAGAAGGCAAAAGAAACAACCAUGAAUAUAAAUAAUGAUUUAAUUUGAAAUGAAUUUAGGCUACACUUUUAUUACAAUAAUAUAUGUUACAUCAUUUAAAAAUAUACAACGCCCUCCACAAUUAUUGGUACCCCUGGUUAAGAUGUGUUCUUAGGCUUCUAAUAAUUUUUUUUUUUUUUAACAAUGUAGAACCACAAUGUAAAAAAAAAGAGAAAAAUCCAACCUUUAAUUGAAGUUAGGGGUGGCAAAAAUAUCAUAUCACGAUUCACGAUUCUUUGUCAUGUUGGUUUUACGAUUUUGCAAGUUGUCUGAGCAUUACAGCCAAACUAUUAUAAAGACAAAGCAUUUCAAGGUAACAAAAUAUAAAAAAGAAUGCCGGAUUCUUUGGCUAAGGUGGGCGAAGAUAAAAAUCUUUCAUUAUUUUAUCUUUGCUAUUAAAAAAUAAGAACAAAGA